This 1419-nucleotide long non-coding RNA is filed under the name Homo sapiens (human). Its description in RNAcentral is "HSALNT0325391". Lineage: Eukaryota; Metazoa; Chordata; Mammalia; Primates; Hominidae. The record is from RNAcentral.
GCAAAAGCAGAGCCAGGUGGGGGACAAGAGUGUUCAAGAGUUGUCAUUUACCCAUUUAGAUGAUAUGGUCAGAGAGGCCUCCCUGAAAAGGUAAUGUCUGAGCAGAGACUUAUGGGAGAAGAGAGAACAGGGUGAGAAGAUCUCUGGGGGAGAAGUAGAAAGUGCAAAGACACAGAGGUGGCGAUGAGCCCCAUCUGGUUGGGACAGAGUGAAAAAGGGGUUCAGCUGGAGGGGCCUGAGAGGUGAGGGUGGCAGAACGUGUGGAGGUGUAAGCUCAGCAGAUGGUGGACACCCUGGAGGCCAUUGUGAGGCUCUGGUUCUCCCUCUGUGUGAUUUCAAGAUCCAUUGCAUGGUUGCAGCUGAGAAGUGAACAAGCCUUAUGACCUGGUUUCUCUUGAAGAGGAUCUUUCCGAUAUACAGGGAGUCCACGGAGCCUCCCCUGCAAGCAUCAGUACAGAAGUCGAUGAUAAUCUGGAUGCAAGCCCAGGAGUGUGGAGUCCACUGACUCAGAAGACCUGCAUCUAAGGAAUUGGCUGUUCUUAUCCUUAAGAAUGAUGACUGUGUUUCCAAUUCCAGUAGACCCUUUGAUGCGUUCUGAAUAAAUAUUCCUUUUGGAAUUGAACUUCUAGAGCCCUUAACUUUGGCCCACUCUAGUUUUCUGUCUGUUUUUUUUUUUUUUAAUAUUUUUUUUUUGUAAAGAUAAGGUCUUGCUUUGUUGCCCAGGCUGGUCUUGAAUUCCUGGACUCAAGCAAUCCACCUGCCUUGGCCUCCCAAAGUGCUGGGAUUAUAGGUGUGAACCAUUGUGUCCGAUCGCUCUCUGGUUUUUCUAAUAUCAUGAUCCCAACUCUGUUCUUUAUGUAAAUUUCCCUGAUCACAUGGUUGUAUCUUGGCAUUUCAAAAUCCUUGACAGACUUUGUUUUGUUUGAAUUUUACAAUGAACUUACAUGACUAGGCACGGUCCCCAGUUCAGUUUUAUAGACAAGGAUUCUGUAGGUCAAGAAGUGAAACACAACCAAUAACAGCAGGUGACAGGAUUUAAACCUGGGUCACUUUACUUAUUUUUUUCUACUCUAUCAUUAUGUGAAUCUAUCCUACCUCUGCAAUGACAGAUGGCCCUAGAGCAAGAACACUUCCUUACAUCUGGUAUACAGUCAAAAAGUAAAAAUUCCACACAAAUAAAUAUGGAAAGAAUUUUUACCUGCUCCUAUAGCUUCCUUUCAGGGACCUGGCACCCACAAAUGUUGGGUAACAGAAAGAGGACUUAUGUAACUUAACUCAAAGCAGAAAAGUUACAGAGACUGUCUUAGCAUAAUAGAGCAUGGAGUGGUCAUGCUUGGAUGUGCAAACUGUCUGAUAGUCUUGCACAUGGCUUGACCCCGAAUUACACUAGUGGGGCAAGUUGCCUGGGGCAAAGCAAAC